This is a non-coding RNA of Acanthosepion pharaonis, 102 nucleotides long. The record is from the annotation of a GenBank genome assembly. Lineage: Eukaryota; Metazoa; Mollusca; Cephalopoda; Sepiida; Sepiidae.
CAUGUUGAAACUCCAGUUCCUGUAUGAUCAUUGAAGUUAAGCAAUGUCAAGCCUGGUCAGCACCUAGAUGGGUGACUGCUUGGGAAUACCAGAUGCUGUAUG